GACGAACGCUGGCGGCGUGCCUAGUACAUGCAAGUAGAACGCACAGUUUAUACCGUAGCUUGCUACACCAUAGACUGUGAGUUGCGAACGGGUGAGUAACGCGUAGGUAACCUGCCUGGUAGCGGGGGAUAACUAUUGGAAACGAUAGCUAAUACCGCAUAAUAUUAAUUAUUGCAUGAUAAUUAAUUGAAAGGUGCAAUUGCACCACUACCAGAUGGACCUGCGUUGUAUUAGCUAGUAGGUGAGGUAACGGCUCACCUAGGCGACGAUACAUAGCCGACCUGAGAGGGUGAUCGGCCACACUGGGACUGAGACCCGGCCCAGACUCCUACGGGAGGCAGCAGUAGGGAAUCUUCGGCAAUGGACGAAAGUCUGACCGAGCAACGCCGCGUGAGUGAAGAAGGUUUUCGGAUCGUAAAGCUCUGUUGUAAGAGAAGAACGGGUGUGAGAGUGGAAAGUUCACACUGUGACGGUAUCUUACCAGAAAGGGACGGCUAACUACGUG
Molecule: ribosomal RNA, 505 nt
Filed under: uncultured bacterium
Lineage: Bacteria
Description: partial 16S ribosomal RNA
Rfam family: Bacterial small subunit ribosomal RNA
Source: RNAcentral